GUGUCAGCCGCCGCGGUAAAACCAGCACCUCAAGUGGUCAGGAGGAUUAUUGGGCCUAAAGCAUCCGUAGCCGGCUCUGUAAGUUUUCGGUUAAAUCCAUGUGCUCAACGCAUGGGCUGCCGAAAAUACUGCAUAGCUAGGGAGUGGGAGAGGUAGACGGUACUCGGUAGGAAGGGGUAAAAUCCUUUGAUCUAUCGAUGACCACCUGUGGCGAAGGCGGUCUACCAGAACACGUUCGACGGUGAGGGAUGAAAGCUGGGGGAGCAAACCGGAUUAGAUACCCGGGUAGUCCCAGCUGUAAACGAUGCAGACUCGAUGAUGCAUUGGCAUAUAGCCAGUGCAGUGUCGCAGGGAAGCCGUUAAGUCUGCCGCCUGGGAAGUACGUACGCAAGUAUGAAACUUAAAGGAAUUGGCGGGGGAGCACCACAAGGGGUGAAGCCUGCGGUUCAAUUGGAGUCAACGCCAGAAAUCUUACCCGGAGAGACAGCAGAAUGAAGGUCAAGCUGAAGACUUUACCAGACAAGCUGAGAGGUGGUGCAUGGCCGUCGCCAGCUCGUGUCGUGAGAUGUCCUGUUAAGUCAGGUAACGAGCGAGAUCCUCGCCACUAGUUGCUAUCAUUAUUCUCAGGAAUAGUGGGGCGAAUUAGUGGGACUGCCGUCGUUAAAACGGAGGAAGGAGGGGGCUACGGCAGGUCAGUAUGCCCCGAAACUCUGGGGCCACACGCGGGCUGCAAUGGUAGCGACAAUGAGCUCCAAACUCGAAAGAGAGUGGCAAUCUCUAAACGCUACCACAGUUAUGACUGAGGGCUGUAACUCGCCCUCACGAAUAUGGAAUCCCUAGUAACCGCGUGUCAUUACCGCGCGGUGAAUACGUCCCUGCUCCUUGCACACACCGCCCGUC
Molecule: ribosomal RNA, 900 nt
Filed under: uncultured archaeon
Lineage: Archaea
Description: bacterial SSU rRNA
Rfam family: Archaeal small subunit ribosomal RNA
Source: RNAcentral